ACAAACUUGGUCAUUUAGAGGAAGUAAAAGUCGUAACAAGGUUUCCGUAGGUGAACCUGCGGAAGGAUCAUUAAUAAAUUUAUAUAAAAGUUUUCUUCAUUAUUUUAAUGGAGAUUACCCGUAUAAAUGUGCACAAAAAUAGUAAAAAGGUUCUCUUUUAUUCUUUCUUGUCAUAUUUAUUUGACAAGCCAAGAAGAAAGUAACCUUUUUAACUCACUUUUUAAUGAAUUAAUGGCAUUUAAAUUAAAUAUUUGACAAAUUGUCAAUAAAAAUUAUAAUGGAGAAAAACAACUUUUAACAACGGAUCUCUUGGCUCUCCCAUCGAUGAAGAACGCAGC
Molecule: unclassified non-coding RNA, 338 nt
Filed under: uncultured fungus
Lineage: Eukaryota; Fungi
Description: partial contains small subunit ribosomal RNA, internal transcribed spacer 1, and 5.8S ribosomal RNA
Rfam family: Eukaryotic small subunit ribosomal RNA (bases 1-73)
Source: RNAcentral